Molecule: ribosomal RNA, 67 nt
Filed under: uncultured bacterium
Lineage: Bacteria
Description: partial 16S ribosomal RNA
Source: RNAcentral
CGCGUANGAGAGUUGAUCGGCCACAUUGGGACUGAGACACGGCCCAAACUCCUACGGAAGGCAGCAG